CCUACGGGAGGCUGCAGGCGAGAAUAUUCCGCAAUGGACGCAAGUCUGACGGAGCGACGCCGCGUGAUGGAUGAAGUGCUUAGGUACGUAAACAUCUUUUAUCGAGGAAGCGGUACUCGAUGAAUAAGGGGCUCCUAACUCUGUGCCAGCAGGAGCGGUAAUACAGAGGCCCCGAGCAUUACCCGGAAUCACUGGGCGUAAAGGGUGUCCAGGCGGCCUUGUUAGUCUCGCGUAAAAUCUGUGGGCUCAACCUACAGCGCGCGCGGGAAACGGCAAGGCUCGAGGGCGCGAGAGAUAGAGGGAACUCAUGGUGGAGGGGUGAAAUCCGUUGAUAUCAUGGGGAACACCAAAGGCGAAGGCACUCUAUUGGCGCGUCCUGACGCUCACACACGAAAGCCAGGGUAGCGAACGGGAUUAGAUACCCUUGUAGUC
This 432-nucleotide ribosomal RNA is filed under the name uncultured bacterium. RNAcentral describes it as "partial 16S ribosomal RNA". It matches the Rfam family "Bacterial small subunit ribosomal RNA", at positions 338 to 795 of the family's 1533-position model. The record is from RNAcentral.